RNAcentral lists this ribosomal RNA (253 nucleotides) under uncultured bacterium. RNAcentral's name for it is "partial 16S ribosomal RNA". It matches the Rfam family "Bacterial small subunit ribosomal RNA", at positions 524 to 776 of the family's 1533-position model. The record is from RNAcentral.
GACGUAGGGCGCGAGCGUUGUCCGGAAUUAUUGGGCGUAAAGAGCUUGUAGGCGGUUUGUCGCGUCUGCUGUGAAAUUUCGGGGCUCAACCCCGAACUUGCAGUGGGUACGGGCAGACUAGAGUGUGGUAGGGGAGACUGGAAUUCCUGGUGUAGCGGUGAAAUGCGCAGAUAUCAGGAGGAACACCGAUGGCGAAGGCAGGUCUCUGGGCCACUACUGACGCUGAGAAGCGAAAGCAUGGGGAGCGAACAGG